CCAAAGCUCUGUGGGAGUGUGCAGUCACGAUUGUACAAUGAGUGUGAAUUUUAAAUGCUUUGGUCAGCAGUAUGGAAAAGACUUGUAUGGGCAGAAAUCUGUGCCAUCGGAAACUGAAUUUGAAUAAGUUCAAUUUGAAUUUGAAUUGCUCAGAUUUAUGGAAGCCCGUUUCCGCCACUAAAAAAAAAAAAAAAGGAUCCAUAACUCAAAAUUUUGAGUUAUUUUCUUGAAAUUUCGAGUUAUUUUCUCGAAAUUUCAAGUUAUUAUCUCGAAAUUUCGAGUUAUUAUCUCGAAAUUUCGACAUAUUAACUCAAAAUUUUGAGAAAAGCAACUCGAAAUUUCGAGUUAGCGCUGCCAAUCAGUAAUCUACGUGAAUGACGUCAUUUCCAUGUUACCCGGAAGCUGAAGCCCUCAGCUACAAAUGCUACAGCUAAGCUACCGGUAUUACAUCCAGUCGUGAAUGCACAGAUUGCUGAGUGUUUUCAGCCUGGCUUCACAAAUGAUGUGUUAUUAGCUGAAUCACAUGGUGUUACUAUCAGCAAACAUACUUUAAUUUGUUGGGAUCCGUUUUUGAGUGCGCGGUCCUGCGCCAUAUGCUUCCGGGUAACAAGAAAGCGACCUCAUUCACGUAUAUUUUUGAUUGACAGAGCUAACUCGAAAUUUUGAGAAAAGUAACUCGAAAUUUCGAGUUAUUUUCUCGAAAUUUCGAGUUAUUAUCUCGAAAUUUCGAGUUAUGGAUACUAGCUUUUUUUUUUUUUUUAGUGGCGGAAACGGGCUUCCAUACAGAUUGAAUCUGAAUUGUAACUUGAAUAAAUGCUUUUGAAAACUGAAUUUGAAUUAGUCUAAUUUGAAAUUGAAUUUAUGGUUUGAAAAUGAUCAUCACUAAAUUGAAAUUGAAUUUAUAUUUUGAAAAUGAAUUGAUUUGCUUUGAAACUGCAUUUUAUCCUUUAAAAAUUCAGCUCUCGAAUAAUUUCAGUUUCACUUCUCACCAUUCAGUUUCAGGUCUACAAUUCAAUUUCAGUUCCAAAAUUCAGUUUUUUGGAACUUACAUCCGGUUCCGGUUCAAGCGCAGAUUAAUAGAACUACGUUUUACUAGCGGACCGAAAGUGUUACUGACGGGAAUCUACAGCGUCUUGAGCUGAAUUAAGACUUCAGAAGUCAUUCGUCAUGUCGAAUGACCAGCGGAUAAACUCUCAGGGUGAAGAGCCUGAGGCCGGUGACAGUCCAGUUCUACUCUAAGUACAUCCUUACAGUGGCUCACAGGACAAGGCCACAUUCCUGUCCUGCCAGAAGAGAAGACAAACUUCAGAGUCUUCAUGCAGUUCAACCACACCUUUCAUAUUCCAUAUGACAGGGGUCUCAAACUCCAGUCCUCAAGGGUGGACUGGAGUCAUGCAACUUUUCCAUGCCCUCGAGGACUGGAGUUUGAGACCCCUGCCGUAUGGUGUUCAUGCUGUUUUCUACCCCACAGUUACAGCAUGUCUGACUGCCUGUUCAGCA
Molecule: long non-coding RNA, 1500 nt
Organism: Astatotilapia calliptera (eastern happy)
Lineage: Eukaryota; Metazoa; Chordata; Actinopteri; Cichliformes; Cichlidae
Source: Ensembl